ACAGUUGUAUUUCCCAUUAUUUAAGUUGAUGGAAUAAUACUUCAGGGUAAGAAUGGUAAUGGGGUGGGGGAAGAUCUACCUCAAUCCCCACCUCAUUCUCCAAUAAAUUUAAUGGGGUGGAGAUGAAGAAUCCCAUGUGGAGAAUGAUUUUGGAAUGUUUGAAAGGCUUGGAUUGUAAUUAGGUAAUUAACUCAACUUAUUAAAGAUGAUAUUGUCAUACCACAUUCAUAAUAUUUCAUUUUGAUAGAUAUUUAUGAUUUGUAAAAUAAGUUGAAUUGAUUAGGGGCCAUAUGAACUUUUUAUUAUAAAGUACCUUAAUUUAUUAACUUUUUAAAUUUAGAUAUGAUAAGUAUUGUAGUCCAUUUGAGUUUGGAUCUAAAUAUUUUUAGUUUAUACUUGAGGGGAGAAUAUGUAAUUUUUUCUGAUUUUUGUUUCACAAUUAAUUUAGCUGUGAUCAUUGUACCAAAUCAAAUAAUAAAAAAAGAAAUCAUGGGUUUAAAUUAAAAUAAAAAAAGGCAUGGGGGUGAUUAUUUGUGUGAAGAAGGAAAAAAAACAGUGAUAGACAAGGGAAAGAGAGACAUAUUAUAGAGUUAACAUCUGUUAGUUGCUUAUUAGUUAUUCCAUUUUAGUUAGCCACUAAUUCUAUAUAUUUUGAUGUCCAUGAAGAAAAAUUAAAAAUAAAUUAAAUCCUAUCCCUAAAUACAUUUAAAGGAAAAAUGUCAUAAUCUCUUACAAAUCUUGGCAAAAAUGAGAUUAAGAAAGAAUCCGAAUGAAAUUAAUCUUAUUUUAUGGGUUUUAAUUUGUUAGUUAAUUAAGCAGACCAAAUCAAGUCGAUGGGACAAUAUGAAGAUUGAAUGAAUCAUCUAGUAGGUACGGAGAUUUUAUUUUUAAUUUUAAAUACACACAAUGAAUGAAUAUGCUUGACUUGUUAAAGAUUAUUUCUUGAAUAAGUGAUAUUCAUUAUUAGUGAUAAUAAUGGGUGAUUAGUGUUAAAAAUUGUAUGUUUGUUAAGGGGUAAAAAUGUUAUUUUGUGCUAUUAUUGUAAUUUAUAUUUGUAAUUAUGUAACAUAUUGUGAAUUUCUAAUUAUUUUUCUAAGUAUUUGAUUUUGUGUAUUUUUGUGUGUUUAUUAGGUAAAAAUAAUAAUUUCAUGCAAUUGGAGGCUCCAAACAAAUGUGCAGAUGUCAAAUUUAGAUUUUAGAAGUCUGAGAAAUUAUGUUAUUGUUGAGGAGGAUCCAAGACUUUUGUUGUAAACUUUUAAGUUUUCACCACGGUAAAUGUGGUAAUUGUAAAGCUGUAAGUUUUUAUCAUAUUAGGUAUAGUAAUUAUUGGUGGAAUGUGUUGAAUGUGUUUGAGUGGAUUACAUUAGGUUUACAUUUUAUUAGUGGGACAAAUGUAAGGCUAAGAUGUAAUUAUAUUUACUUAUUUAUGUGGUGUGGAUUUACUAUGUAUUAGUAUAAAUAGAGAGGGGAGGGGGAGGGACACACCUUUUCACACCUUCUCUUCUCUUCUCUUCUUUCCCCC
RNAcentral lists this long non-coding RNA (1522 nucleotides) under Citrus x clementina. RNAcentral's name for it is "Citrus clementina (C. clementina) long non-coding RNA (CCLE_LNC005546)". Lineage: Eukaryota; Viridiplantae; Streptophyta; Magnoliopsida; Sapindales; Rutaceae. The record is from RNAcentral.